AUCGCUUCUCGGCCUUUUGCUAAGAUCAAGUGUAGUAUCUGUUCUUAUCAGUUUAAUAUCUGAUACGUCCCCCAUCGGGGGACUACAUAUUAAAUGGAUUUUUCGAACAGGGAGUCGGAAAUGGGCUUGCUCCGUCCGCUCCACGCAUCGACCCGGUAUUGCAGUACCUCCGGAACGGUGCAACACUU
Molecule: small nuclear RNA, 188 nt
Filed under: Oncorhynchus mykiss (rainbow trout)
Lineage: Eukaryota; Metazoa; Chordata; Actinopteri; Salmoniformes; Salmonidae
Description: U2 spliceosomal RNA (ENSOMYG00000061768.1)
Rfam family: U2 spliceosomal RNA
About the family: U2 is a small nuclear RNA (snRNA) component of the spliceosome (involved in pre-mRNA splicing). Complementary binding between U2 snRNA (in an area lying towards the 5' end but 3' to hairpin I) and the branchpoint sequence (BPS) of the intron results the bulging out of an unpaired adenosine, on the BPS, which initiates a nucleophilic attack at the intronic 5' splice site, thus starting the first of two transesterification reactions that mediate splicing.
Source: RNAcentral